GAGGUGUUUGCGGUCGGAGUCGAUGGUGCGGGCGACGAAGGAGGCUUCGGCUCCGAGGGCCAGGGACACCGGGUUGAAGGGGGCGUCGAGGGAGCCCAUGGGGGUGGAUUUGGUGAUCUUGCCGACUUCGCUGGUGGGGCUGUACUGGCCUUUGGUGAGGCCGUAGAUGCGGUUGUUGAAGAGCAGGAUCUUGAGGUUGACGUUGCGGCGCAGGGCGUGGAUGAGGUGGUUGCCGCCGAUGGAGAGGGCGUCGCCGUCGCCGGUGACGACCCAGACGGACAGGUCGCGGCGGGAGGAGGCGAGUCCGGUGGCGAUGGCGGGGGCGCGGCCGUGGAUGGAGUGCAUGCCGUACGUGUUCAUGUAGUACGGGAAGCGGGAGGAGCAGCCGAUGCCGGAGACGAAGACGAUGUUCUCCUUGGCGAGGCCGAGUUCGGGCAUGAAGCCCUGGACGGCGGCCAGGAUCGCGUAGUCACCGCAGCCGGGGCACCAGCGCACUUCCUGAUCGGACUUGAAGUCUAGCUAGCUAGACACCCUUACCCCGGGACAACCACCGCCCGGGAUGGACUACCUUCCUGCGUCACCCCAUCACUCACCUACUACAGGUCUGGUCCGUCGGCUCCACCACUCCCCUUUGCCCGAAGGCUCCGGGGCGGCUUCACGGACUUAGCAUCGCCUGGUUCGAUGUUUGACGCUUCACAGCGGGUACCGGAAUAUCAACCGGUUAUCCAUCGACUACGCCUGUCGGCCUCGCCUUAGGUCCCGACUUACCCUGGGCAGAUCAGCUUGACCCAGGAACCCUUAGUCAAUCGGCGCACACGUUUCUCACGUGUGUAUCGCUACUCAUGCCUGCAUUCUCACUCGUGAACCGUCCACCACUGCCUUCCGGCGCGGCUUCACCCGGCACACGACGCUCCCCUACCCAUCACAGCGGGCGUUGGCCCUCAUGCUGCAAUGACACGACUUCGGCGGUACGCUUGAGCCCCGCUACAUUGUCGGCGCGGAAUCACUAGACCAGUGAGCUAUUACGCACUCUUUCAAGGGUGGCUGCUUCUAAGCCAACCUCCUGGUUGUCUGUGCGACUCCACAUCCUUUCCCACUUAGCGUACGCUUAGGGGCCUUAGUCGAUGCUCUGGGCUGUUUCCCUCUCGACCAUGGAGCUUAUCCCCCACAGUCUCACUGCCGCGCUCUCACUUACCGGCAUUCGGAGUUUGGCUAAGGUCAGUAACCCGGUAGGGCCCAUCGCCUAUCCAGUGCUCUACCUCCGGCAAGAAACACACGACGCUGCACCUAAAUGCAUUUCGGGGAGAACCAGCUAUCACGGAGUUUGAUUGGCCUUUCACCCCUAACCACAGGUCAUCCCCCAGGUUUUCAACCCUGGUGGGUUCGGUCCUCCACGACCUCUUACAGCCGCUUCAACCUGCCCAUGGCUAGAUCACUCCGCUUCGGGUCUUGAGCGCGCUACUGAAUCGCCCUGUUCGGACUCGCUUUCGCUACGGCUUCCCCACACGGGUUAACCUCGCAACACACCGCAAACUCGCAGGCUCAUUCUUCAAAAGGCACGCAGUCACGAGGCUAGCUAGCUAGCUGAGACCUGAUGCCGAGCCGAUUGUGGUGAAGUGGAUGAUCCUAUGCUGUCGAGAAAAGCCUCUAGCGAGUUUCAUGGCGGCCCGUACCCUAAACCGACUCAGGUGGUCAGGUAGAGAAUACCGAGGCGUUCGGGUGAACUAUGGUUAAGGAACUCGGCAAAAUGCCCCCGUAACUUCGGGAGAAGGGGGGCCACGUCUGGUGAUGAGUCUUGCACUCUGAGCUGGGUGUGGCCGCAGAGACCAGCGAGAAGCGACUGUUUACUAAAAACACAGGUCCGUGCGAAGCCGUAAGGCGAUGUAUACGGACUGACGCCUGCCCGGUGCUGGAACGUUAAGGGGACCGGUUAGUCACUCUUCGGGGUGGCGAAGCUGAGAACUUAAGCGCCAGUAAACGGCGGUGGUAACUAUAACCAUCCUAAGGUAGCGAAAUUCCUUGUCGGGUAAGUUCCGACCUGCACGAAUGGCGUAACGACUUCUCGACUGUCUCAACCAUAGGCCCGGUGAAAUUGCACUACGAGUAAAGAUGCUCGUUUCGCGCAGCAGGACGGAAAGACCCCGGGACCUUUACUACAGUUUGAUAUUGGUGUUCGGUUCGGCUUGUGUAGGAUAGGUGGGAGACUUUGAAGCGGCAGCGCCAGCUGUUGUGGAGUCGUCGUUGAAAUACCACUCUGGUCGUGCUGGAUGUCUAACCUGGGUCCGUGAUCCGGAUCAGGGACAGUGUCUGAUGGGUAGUUUAACUGGGGCGGUUGCCUCCCAAAGAGUAACGGAGGCGCCCAAAGGUUCCCUCAGCCUGGUUGGCAAUCAGGUGUUGAGUGUAAGUGCACAAGGGAGCUUGACUGUGAGACCGACGGGUCGAGCAGGGACGAAAGUCGGGACUAGUGAUCCGGCGGUGGCUUGUGGAAGCGCCGUCGCUCAACGGAUAAAAGGUACCCCGGGGAUAACAGGCUGAUCUUCCCCAAGAGUCCAUAUCGACGGGAUGGUUUGGCACCUCGAUGUCGGCUCGUCGCAUCCUGGGGCUGGAGUCGGUCCCAAGGGUUGGGCUGUUCGCCCAUUAAAGCGGUACGCGAGCUGGGUUUAGAACGUCGUGAGACAGUUCGGUCCCUAUCCGCUGUGCGCGUAGGAGUCUUGAGAAGGGCUGUCCCUAGUACGAGAGGACCGGGACGGACGAACCUCUGGUGUGCCAGUUGUCCUGCCAAGGGCAUGGCUGGUUGGCUACGUUCGGGAGGGAUAACCGCUGAAAGCAUCUAAGCGGGAAGCCUGCUUCGAGAUGAGGACUCCCACCCACUUGAUGGGGUAAGGCUCCCAGUAGACGACUGGGUUGAUAGGCCAGAUCUGGAAGCGCCGUAAGGCGUGGAGGUGACUGGUACUAAUAGGCCGAGGGCUUGUCCU
This 2975-nucleotide ribosomal RNA is filed under the name Streptomyces sp. Tue6028. RNAcentral's name for it is "bacterial LSU rRNA". The stretch from base 1306 to 2975 matches the Rfam family "Bacterial large subunit ribosomal RNA". The record is from RNAcentral. Lineage: Bacteria; Bacillati; Actinomycetota; Actinomycetes; Kitasatosporales; Streptomycetaceae.